Molecule: long non-coding RNA, 2667 nt
Filed under: Canis lupus familiaris (dog)
Lineage: Eukaryota; Metazoa; Chordata; Mammalia; Carnivora; Canidae
Description: lncRNA (ENSCAFG00000054997.1)
Source: RNAcentral
UUUUUUUUUUUUCUUACCCUGGGAGCAGAGCUUUUUCCACAAGGCGAUGUCUUUUACCAAGGACAGAAAAAUCAUAAUCAAUGCGCAAUCAACAUUGUGUUGCUUUUUGCUGCACCUACCAUUCACUUCUACUAUGAAUUAAUUCUUCCUCCUCCUCUCCCGCCCCUGGCAAUUAGUGCAGCAGAAACACAGAAAGGAGAGUACUAUGCUUAGGUGGACCAGUUUGAUUCAGCAUUGAGUACCAGGUAUGCAUAUAAUUUUAAAGUCUCUUUAUAACAAAGGUAUUUCAAAUUAACUUAUGAAGGAAACCACAAAAUUACAUAUGUACCAUAUGAAUAUUUCUAAAAAUAUUGCCUGUAAAAUUUAACAACUUUCAGUUUUAAAUAAAGGCAUUAGGGAAAUUUGUAACAUUAAAAACUGCCUUCGGUACUUCUUAGAAAGUUUGUGAGUCGAAAAGUUUUCCGAGUUAUUUUUGCUAUUAAAUAACAUCAUAAUACAGCAUUACACUUCGUUCUACUGAAAUCACUUGCUAGAAAUCCUGUAAUAGCUAGUUGUUAUCAAGAAAUAAAGACCUUUUAUCUCAAACAAGCAAACAAAAAAAAAAAUACUGGAAAAACCCUGAACUGUCAUAUAGGAUAUGAAAGUGUUAGACGUCACUGGUAAAGAAGAUUCUUGAUUUGGUAAUGACCAAUUUCAUUUAAACCUAUUGUCUGCUCUAAGUGCACUAGAAAAUUUAGAUCCUUUGUAUCUAGCAUUUUUUUUUUUUUAAGAAAACCGUAACCACCUACUUUGUGUAUAAACGUGCACAUCUUGCUUUUGUGAACAGGGUGCUUCACCUGCUCCUCUGAGUGGACUCUCCUCUGUGUGGAGCUACUGCACUAGGGCGUGUGUAUCUACUUUCAUGCUACAUUCUUCCUGACAUUUUCCCUAAGAAAAACAUGCUUAACUAUUAAGUACGUUAAUUUUACCAACUUCUCGACUGAAAGCUUAACUUUCAAUUGUCUUGUCAAACGACAGUAUAAAACAAUAAACGGACUAGCAUUUUAUCAUUAUAAGAUUUUGGUAGUUUCAUUUUUAAUACCAUUACAGCUUGCAUAAAAAUGGGAUUUGUACUACUCUUUUCACCUUUUUAAAAGUCUUUUACAACUUUUCCAACAUAAAAGGUGACAAUAUGACAUACUUAUACAUGAAUGAGUUGCAUAAAAAUUCAUCAAUUUAAGUGCCACGGUACCAUGAUGACUUAUAGAUUAGCAGCCUGACAGACAUCCUCAAAUUCUUACAAAAUAAUAUAUGAACUGUAUAGCAAUGAGAACAUUUGAGAUAGUAGCAUAUUAAAGCUCUACCUAACAGUAAUACACAACCCCCCCAUCCGAGAAACAACUAUAUGUUUGAUCCAAACGACUAAUCUCUAUAAUGAUUAAAUCACCCGUUAUCACUAUUUUAUGUAAUUCAUUUAUGUAGAUAUACUAUGGAAAUAUAUAAAUAUGGGAGUAUUUUGACACUCUGGUUAAUAACAUUAUCAGUAUAGUUAUGUCUUUUAUAACAUGUAACUCGUUUCAGCCCCAAGUUUUAGAACUUUAAAAUAAAUAAAAAGUGUAAUUUACAAAAAUAAGCCAUUAUUUACAAACAUAAAAAUUCAUCCUGAGAACUUAUUAACCAGGAGAACUGUUUCACAGAAAAGGAAAUUACCAAUAUCUGUGAAAUAAAAAAUGUACCUCAAGAAUUAAAUAAUUCAUAUGUGGAGGUCAAUUUACCUAAGUUGCAGCCAAGAAAAGACUAAGGUAUUUAAUAAAUCUAAAAUCGACUUGUAUGCAAGAAAUGCUAUGACUUCUCAAAUGCCAUUGUCAUUUUCCUUUAAACUUCUGUAUUAAUGGAGUAUUCUGGCUGUAUUUUGGAAGAGGGUGAGAGAGAAAGAACACCUCAAGAAAACUCAAGGAUAUGGUCUCAUCUCUCACCAGGGGUUAUGAGAGCAGAGAAGUGGGGUGCAUGGUCAUUAUAAAUGGCUUACUUUGGACUGUCAUGAGAAACAGAGCCACUCUACCUUUGGCUUUACCUGGCUGAGCUCCCCCACUCCACCCUACCCGCCCCCAACAGGAACAGUGACUAAAACAGUUCAACAUUAUAUAAAGGAAAAAUGUCCAAUUAAAACACAAAUGUGAAUAAAGGCAAACCCUCAUCAGAUUCUUUGCUUUAUAAUGUGACCAUAAAAUACUUAAUAGAAAUGAAAAGAAAUGGUUCAACAAAGAAUCAAACUGGUUUUGGGGGGUAUAUCAUCACAACAAAUCUCUUUACUCUUUAUGCUGUGAGCAGACAGUGAUUAUUUUGGAGAAGGAAAAAUAAGAAAAGUGUGAAAUUAGUAACGCAAGAGGCUGAAAGGCAAGUGGCAAGACUAGAAAAGAUUGCCUCAAACCAAUGCUACUUUGUUCCCAUCUCUACUGGCACCUACCCCGCCCCACCCAAGGUAAAAGGCCAGAAUAACCAAAGCCAUUUUAACAGUAGUGUGCGCAAUUGUCAGCUGACAAACAACAUAAAAACAAGUCACGCUAUGUUAUCUGUGGUCACGUUCUUCAGGGUUAGUCCAGUAACUCAAGACUUUACAUUCUUUUCUCUUUAUUUGUUUAUUUUAAUUAAACACGUAAAGGUUAAUAAACAGACAUAGUCCAGAGU